Long non-coding RNA from Heterocephalus glaber (naked mole-rat), 3714 nucleotides. RefSeq lists it as uncharacterized. NCBI's taxonomy places the organism in Eukaryota, Metazoa, Chordata, Mammalia, Rodentia, Bathyergidae. The record is from RefSeq and is a predicted model, not a curated record.
AACAGAUGAGGAACCAAGCCCCUAGCCCCGGUCCUCAAGGGUAUCGAUUACAACAGAGGCAGGGACACUGCCGAGGACUCCCUGGCUCCAGCUGGUGCACAAGACAAGCUGUGAAGGCCGAGGCCACCGCGUAACGUCAUUCUGCUAUUCUCACUGACAAAUGAGGGCAGAUGAGACAGCGUGAGAGAUGUCUGCAUUUGCACAGUGAGGGGCCCUAACAGGCACCCAGCCAGGACCCCCCAGCUCCCCAGGCCACGCUCUCCACAGGCUCUCCCCUGCGGAUGCAGUGAAGCCCCAGCCAGGCUGGCCAGACUUGCCUCUGCUGUCUCCACUCCUCCAUCUGCUGCCUCCCAGGGCCUCUCCACCAUUUGCUCUCCAUUCCACUACUGGCCCAUGCUCGAUUCCGGUGGCUCUGGCCACCCUGAGGCAUGCCAAGGGCAGCCGGGCUUUGAUAGCAGAGAUGAAAGGCAGCGCCUCAGUGCGCACGAGAUCUGGGCACAAAUGUCAACGCUUUUAUCGACAAACCCCAAAUUACCCGCUCCCGCACAGCCUUUCAUCGCCAUGGGGCAAGCAGGCUGCUUAUUAGAGACACUGCUUUGUCCAUGAGCUCCCCUGCGGAGACCGGGUGGACGGGCCCAUACCAGUGUCCCCCUCAGAACCACCGAGCCCUCUCCCUGUGGGACGGCGGGCUCUGCUCUUUUCUGGGCCAGCCAGGCCACUGCUGCCCUCCCACACACCGCCUGCAGCUCCAGGAAGCAGAGGUUGGGACCACAGGCCAAGUGUGCAGGGCACUGACUGGUUUCUCUCUUUCUUCCCUCUUUCUCUCUUCCUGCAGCCGAGGCAGCAACUGAGGACUCCACAUCACAGAUGCCUGUGAUCACAGAGGCCACCUGAGGCCACUGACAUGGCUCCCCUGUCCUGGGGCCCCAGAAGACAGCGGGCUGUGUCCUUGUUAGAGGGAUCCCGAGCAGAUGAGAAAACUGGGACUGCAACAUGAACCACUGUCCACAUCACAUGGCUGAAGGGGACAGGACCCACAGGGACACGAGUCAGAAGAAUCUACCACCAUCGGAACCCAAGUGAGACUCAGACUCCCCAGUGUGUCCAUGGCAGCCCUGGCUUUGACCUGCAACUCCAAGCCUUCCGCUCAAUGCUCCUAACACUGGGUGGAACCCAGAAGUGGGCUACAGGGAAGGAAGCGCACCGGGCUCCUGUCUUUAAGGCCAAGGGCAAGGUGGCAGCCCACAACCUCCCCCCGCCCCCGGAGUGCCACACCCUCACCAAGGUGGAGCCCCCGGAUGGUCUCUCCCCUGGCUUCCUGCAGUACCUUCUGCUAUGACAGGAAAAGCAGCCCAAAGCCAGAGACCUGAAGGAAUUCCUAUCUCCCACUUGGCCAUGAGAAUACAGAGUAUCAUUCUAAGACUACUGCUAUGCACUUGGUUCUGGGCUGAGCACAUAUAAAGGACAGGAAUCUCCUCUGAUCCCAGACCAAGCCCAUAACUCAGAUCACUGACUGCCUGCUGCUCUCUCAUCCGCGUGUUCAUGCGAAAGGCUGUGUGUGACUGAGCACCGAGCACAGGGCUCCAGCCCGGGUUUUGGAGUUGGGACCUGCUCUCUGCUGAGUACACAGAAAGCCAGAGCUUGAUUUGAGCCAAGAUGAUCUAUCAACCAACCACGCACACCGGCUGGCCGCACACAGAUGGUGCUCUUCGGUGGGCAAGCAUUUGCCUGGAUAUGGACGCCUAUAAUCCAUCACCACCCGGGAAGCCGUCAGAUGAGUGUUCUCAUGCUCCCCCACUGCACAUCUGGGGAAACCGAGGUUGAAGAGACCACCCACGAUCACACAGUACAUCAGUGGUCCUCAUCUUCUACUUUCUUUUGCCUACACAUCUCUGCCCACCUUGAGUGUGAUGUGAGGAGUCAGUGCUGGCCUGGUAGCCAAGGUGGGAUGGGUCGCUGAGGAUGUGGACAUGCAGAAAGCUCUGGACAAGCACUGCACAGAAGGCACUGACUGAACUCUCCGGAGUCAGGAGCUGCAUCCUGAGUAUUCAGGGUUGUUCUUAGUACAAGCCAAGAAGCAAAGCAAAGCAAAGCAGUCUCUGGAAACUCUAGAGAAGUAAGCAAACCACGUUACGGAGUCAGACCAUCCCUGGGUCCACUCAGCGGAGCCACUGCAGGCGGCAAAGUGUUCCCUGAGCCUCCAGCACCCGUCUUCAAGUGGAAUAACAGGCCUGUGCCCUCCCGACAGGUCCAGGGGCUCCGUGUCCGUGUCUGGUGUGAAUGGAGUGCUCCUUAUUUCCUCCUUGAGCCCCAGGGAAGUGUCAUCCACUGCUGUUCACUCCACAGGACAUCCGGUUAACCAGGUGAAGAGUGGCCAGUUCUACAUCUCAUAAAAAUGGAACUGCACGUGUGAGCGUCCACACAGCACAGGCUGCUCAAGGCUCGCCACGCCACUGCCGGCCCGGUGCAUCUCGCCAUCUAAUGGCGGCUGAGCCAUCUCACUCUGCCGUCAGCAGACACAGACAAGGGCCCUUUCUAUCCCGCGGCUGCUGCGGGCCCUGCUGCGACCAACACCUGAGUGCGAGUUUCUGCACAGACCUGUUUUCAGCUCUCUCAAAUGCACGCGGACUCGUAGAAUGCCAGGUCGGAUGCUGCAGCCCUUUCCCGUGAGGCUGCACUCGCACUCGCCCACAGCCAGCACCAGGGCCCACCUGCUCCCACUCUGGGUCCUUGCCCGCACUGGUUUUCUACUGCUGCUGCUGAUCACAGUCAUCCUGGUGGGGACAAAGGGGGCCAGAUCUUGUGGAUUAGUUUGCUUUUCCCUAACGACCAGUGACGGUGAGCAUCCUCUCCCGCACUCGCUAGACACAUGCAUGCCUGCCUGCCCAGCAUAACGUGCUUUCCUUUACCACUUUCAUCUGAGUGGUUUGGGCUUUUGUGCCCAAGGGACAGUUGGGCAAGUGUUCGGCGAAUGCAAAUGCCGCCUCAGUGUCCUCACCCGGGGCAGCAGGAGCCACGGAGUCCUGUGAGGCCCUGGGCGGCAGACUGCAUGCGUGGCCAGCGUGGCCAGAGCCCGCAUGCACCCCAGUCCUCCCCUUGCAAAGGCUGCCAGGGCUCUGGGGGUCAUGAGAGCGAGAUGCAUGUCCAGAAGAAAGGCUGUUGGGGACUUAAAACCACUUAGACCUGCACAGACUGCCUGGCUAGGUGAUUUCAAGGACUUCGUGGCCAGCUGUUUCCAUUUCCCUAGUGGCUGGAGAAGAGGAAAUGCUCGGGGGCGGGGGCCUGGACUGGACAGCUCUGCCUGGCAGGGUCUGCCAACGCCUGGCAAGGACCGCAGACCACCCGUGGGCAUCCUGGACCUACCCAAGGUGCAGUGUCCCCAUGGGGUGUCGGGCUUAACUGCUCCUCCUCUGUGUGUCCUGGGUCUAGCUGUCCCCUCAGCGCCCCAUGCUCUCCCAGAGGUGGCUGAAUCCAGAGUGUGUGACUGAUUCAUGGUGCAAUGCUAGGCCCGAGGGCACCAGGAUGAAGGGUGUGAGUGCUGCCCGCCUGAAGGAGUGUGAAUAAGACAAAAGGGGGCAGAAAGACACUGGUAAGGUCCCCGGCUGCUUUUGCUGUCUUCUGCCAAAGUGAACUGUUGCAGCUCUGCCUUGGAGUAAGACAAUAUGGACUGAAACCUCUACAGACUGUGAGCCUAAUAAACCCCUUCCCCUCUAA